Oreochromis niloticus (Nile tilapia) is the source of this 3019-nucleotide long non-coding RNA. RefSeq lists it as uncharacterized. The record is from RefSeq and is a predicted model, not a curated record. NCBI's taxonomy places the organism in Eukaryota, Metazoa, Chordata, Actinopteri, Cichliformes, Cichlidae. The transcript is spliced from 4 exons.
AGCAGAUUUGAACCCAGGCUUCUGCAAUGGGUCUCCUUCACAAGUGGUCCCUUUAUUUUUCCAGUCACACUCCAAGGCCCACCCCUAGUGGCUCCGCUGGGGAGCGCCCCACAGUUUAACAGCCACUUUAAGGCUUUAGUUUAAGCCAGCAAGUUUAAGGCUACACUGAGCUUUGCAUACAGACUGGAUAAAAUUAAGGUCAUCGCAAGUAGAGGAUGGAGCAUAGAAACUCAGAGAUGGAGAUGGAGAAGAGAGGUUAGAUUUAAAGGUCUGUGGCUGAACCUUUGGACCUGCUCCCGGUCAGCCUGUUGAUAUUAGACCUUGGUCUUAAUAUUAUCAUAUUUCACAGCAGCGAGGUAGAAGAAGAGGCGAUGCGGAUGGGGAGGAAGAUGCCCGCAGAGGCUCAGGAGCCACAUCUGGGUGUAAGAAGUUCAGGUGGAACAAAUAAUUAAUGCGGUUGUUUGCUCUUACUGUGUUCACCAUGACAGUUAUGUGUUUCUAAGCUUAGUUUAUUUCCUCAUUUUAAAUAUAGAAAAGAAAACACAGAAAGAAAACACACAUUCACACUCCUGUUUGGACACAAAGUGAGAACAGAACUGAAUAGAAAUGAGAAAUCACAAGACGAGCCCAGCACGUGUGUUCAUGUGACCUCCAAAUUUUACUCAAAAUAACCUUUUACUUAGUGAAUUUUUAAAUAACUGCCGUGUUUAUACAUUUUCAGACAAGUCAUCAGGUUUUGGGUUAUUUGUACAAAUGUAUGGACCCAAAUGAUUAAAGUACAUAACUACAUAAGCAAGAAUUAAAUCAGGAUUCCGGUAAGUUUCACUCUAAUAAGCAUUGCUGCACAGAGACUGAGCAGGGGAUUGAAUUUUCCUGGACUGCUUAGUUUUUUUUUUUUGAUAAAUCCUUGUAAGAAAGUGCUCAGUUUUCUUGGUUUGAAAGCUCCAAUCUUGAUCCAGCCUUAGCUCAGCACUGGAAGGUGAACGAGAACUGCAAAGUCAGAUCACUUGGGAGGUAAGUUACUCAGAGGGAGUGAGUCUGAUAACCACCACAAAGGUGACAACAAACUGACAGAGAGUGGAGGUUUCAGCUGGCCUUUUGAAUCCCAGGGUAAUGAGUAGAUGAGAGACUGGUGUGCUGACUGAAAGAAGGCGGCAGGAGCAAAACCAGACCUGUGGCCAACUCCACCUGAGAGCAAAGAGAGAGGGAGGUGAGCUGGAGUCAGCUGGAAUCCCAACACUCGGUGGAUAAAGUGAUGAAUAAAUAUACCAACAGAGCCUACAGGUGGAUGCUGGCAUGGCGGAGAGGUUCAAAGAGCACCAGAGAGAUGUGAAGCUUUGCAGCUAAAUAGCCCUUCAUAUUGAAAGGGUGUGUUCCUGUUUGUUUUUGUGAUAUCUUUAUGCAAAUCUUUCCCCUCACACACCAACUACCUGUCCUUGUGAUUUCAAGAUUCAAAGAUUCAAAGAUUUUCUAAUGUUAGUUUGCUACAUGUACAGAGCAUACAGGAGAACUGAAACACUGUUUCCCCCUUAGUGUAAAAGAAGAACUAAGUGAAUACCAAAAGUAUUCAUUCACUCAUCCAAAUCAUUGAAUUUAGGUGUUCACUUCCAUGACCACAGGUGUAUGAAAUCAAAUAUCUAGGCAUGCAGACUGCUUAUACAAACAUUUGUGAAAGAAUAGGUCGCUCGCAGGAGAUCUGUCACAGCAUGCCACCUGUGCAACAUGUCCAGUCGUGAAAUUUCCUCGCUACUAAAUAUUUCACAAUCAACUCUUAGUGGUACUAUAACUAAGUGGAAGCAUAAUGUGCAGAGGUCAGCAACUUUCCCUCCAAACGUCACGUGGCCUUCAGAUUGGCUCAAGAACAGUGUGUAGACAGUUUAAUGAACAGGUUUCCAUGGCCAAGCCUCACAUCACCAAGUGCAGUGCAAAGCGUUGGAUGCAGGUGUGUAAAGCUCACUGCCACUGGACUCUAGAGCAGUGGUCCUCUCUGGCAGUCUGAUGGAUGAGUUUGGGUUUGUUGGUUGCUAGCACAGCGGUACUUCUCUGACUGCACUGUGCCAAGUGUAAAGUUUGGUGGAGGGGGGAUUAUUGUUUGGGAUUACUUUUCAGGAGGACUCAGCCCCUUAGUUCCAGUGAAAUGAACUCUUAAUGCUGCAGCACACUAAGACAUUUUGGACAAUUUCAUGCUCCGAACUUUGUGAGUACAGUUUGGGGACGGCCCUUUCCUGUUCCAGCAUAACUGCACACCAGUGCACAAAGCAAGGUCCAUAAAGACACGGAUGAGGAAGUUUGGUGUGCAAGAACUUGACUGGCCUGCACAGAGCCCUGAUCUCAACCAGAUGAACACCAUUGGGAUGGGUUAGGGUGGAACCAGACCUUGUCCAUUAUAAGUGUCUGACUUCACAAAUGCAAUACAGGAAGAAUGGUCAAAAUUCCAAUAAACAAACCUUGUGAAAAGCCUGCCCAGAAAAGUUGAAGCUGUUAGCUGCAAAAGGUGGGGCAACAUCAUAUUAAACCCUAUGAAGUAAGAAUGGGAUGUUACUGAAAUUCAUAUGCAUCUGAAGACCAAUGAAUAAAUACUUUUGAAAAUAUAGUGCAUAAAAAAAUCAAACCUAUGUAUAAUAGUGGCAGUAGUGUAAGCUAUAAAUAAAAUAAAUAAAUAAAUAAAUGAAUGAAUAGAGUAGCUUGUGAGCCUGGUUCUCCUUGAGGUCUCUUGUUAAAAGCAAGUUCUUCCUCCCCACUAUCAUCAAGUGCUGUCUCAUAGGGGAUCCUCUAAUCAUUGGAUCUCUCUCUUUAAUAUUGUAGGGUGCCUGCUGCACAGUACAAAGCACCUUGAAAUAACGCUUCUGAAUUAAAAUUGAAUUGAACUGUUUGAUAUGUGAUGUGAGAAGAGGUGUGAUGUUGCAUGUCUAUGAUGCAGUGCAGCUCAAGCUGCCUGACUGAACUAGCAUGCAGGCUCUGGUGCAUAUUUCCUCUUCAUUUGCACAUAUCAGAGUGCACUGAAGACGAUUAUUAUCCU